This is a long non-coding RNA of Megalobrama amblycephala (Wuchang bream), 4049 nucleotides long. RefSeq lists it as uncharacterized. The record is from RefSeq and is a predicted model, not a curated record. The transcript is spliced from 3 exons. NCBI's taxonomy places the organism in Eukaryota, Metazoa, Chordata, Actinopteri, Cypriniformes, Xenocyprididae.
UCACGCAAAAAAAGGGGUAGAUUUAAUACACUUACGUUGAGCCCGUCAUAAAGGUUCUUUGACGUCACGCGUUACCUAGUACCACAAAAAAGACAGGCUAUUCAUGGAGCUAGGAGAAAAGCAGCCUAAUUUCCUGGGAAAAGCAGAAUUCUCUACCCUGAUUGGAUGCACUGCUGGUUUUUCAUAUGAAAGUCACACGUUAACAUACACUCACAGACAUACAUAAAGUCUAGAGUAUGCUCGUCCGACCUCAACUCUCUCCCUCUCUUAGCUACCGGUCUCAAAUGAAGAACUUUUGACAUUGCCGAGUGCUACGACUUAAUAUGGAGUUCAGAGGCGGGUUUGCACAACAAACAGAUGUUCUUUGAUGUCAGCUGCAGUGAGGGGGUGGCAAAAAAUGGGAACGCUAAAAAGAAGUAGGAGGAAGGUGUCAGAACUCUAAUCACCAUGCAGCUUUUAGAAAGAAAUCUAUUGUAUUUCUUAGCACAAACACAGGCUUUGAGUCACAGUUACAACGCCGGCUCGCUGAUCCAGAGAUGUUGGAUGGAAGCUAAAUUACACAGGCUGUCAACUAAACCAAUGUACAACUCCAUUCGGGUGCAUAAUAAAUUAUGUAAAAGAGCCUAACAGCAAGAAAAUGACCGUGCCAUUUGCUGUCACUUCAGACGAUUUGUAUUAUGACAUUUCACGAAUGCUUGGCCAAUUACCCUGAAUAGAUCUAUUGCAUAAACUAAAUAAUAGUUUCCCUAGUUUCUCCACUUCAGCUAUGUGAUUUAGUUAUUCAUUAAACCACCCACAUCACAAGUGCAAAAUACAGCUCAGGAUAUGUACUCCAUGAACAUCUCAUUUAGGUUAGUAUGUGUCAGCACAGUGAAUAAGUUAUAGACCCACACGCCUACAAAACCAGUAGUAUUUUCCAAAACAACAGCGUUUACACAACAUGCCACAAUUUAUUUCCACUGCAGUCAGCCUAGUAGAUAUAGUAUUCAUGUUGUAAAAGAAAACUGCUAUCGUAUUACAACAAAUAUCUUUCUACAUCUAUAAAUAUAUUUAAUAUUUGUCUAUAUAAUGUCUAUACAUUUUGUAUACUUUAUUGGUGACCUCUUCCUACUGUAGGUUUGAACAUUAGUCUUUUGAGUUGUUAUCCAAGACCUUUUACACUACCACACCAUAGUAUGUGUUAUCAUGCCUCUGAUUUAGUCUAAAAUCAUAAAGGUAUCAAUUUGUUUGGAUAAAAGAUACAUGUUGUGUGUAAUAUCUGUGGUUUCUAAUACUAAAGGAUGUUUCAACGAUACAAAAUGCAAUCUUGGUUACAGUGUAAUGAGACCUCCAUUAGCUGACUGACAAACUCCCCUUGUGUUGAAGGAACAAUAAAAACACUCACACACACAUACUAUCUCACACUGAGGGUGCGACAUGUCAAGACAUGUCAGCUUUACCAUUGUGUAGGCUGAAAUACCAUAUGGUAUCUUAACUUGACAAAGAGAAAGAAGAAUCCCCAAUCAGUUAAUGUAUAGUUAAUCCAUAAAUUCUAAAUCACUCAUGCACAUGUUGCUCCAAUCUAUAUCACUUAAUGUAUUAACAAAAUUAAAAGAGAGGUUAGAAUGUUUGCACUGCUGUUUUCUGUACAAUGAAAGUAAAAGUUGACACACUUGCUAUGUUCAUCAAACAAUCCUACUGUAUGGCUUCAAAAGACAUAAUAUUUUUACAAUAUUGUGCCUUUUCAUCCUUUUUUUUUUUUUUUUUGGAGAUUUACAGCUUGUGCUCACUAUUUAUUCACUGCAUUCUUCUUUUUGUGUUCCAUGGAAAUCAUGGUAAGUCAUACAGAACUUGGAAUGAAAUGAGAGCGAGUAAAUAACUACAAAAUUUUCAAUCUGGAAUUUUGGAAAUACUCUUUUAAUAAUCAGGCAAGUCUACAUAGUCCAUCUGAAAUGAGUGUAUUCUGUUUUACAGGUAACUGGUGGGUUUUUGAACUUUGAAUCUGGAAUUCUUACAGGUUUUUUCAGUCUUGGAAGAACAUCUUGAAUUAUUUCCAAGAGCUUCCUGAAGAAGAGAUACAACAGAAACGUCUCCUUGUUGGCACGUCUAUGACUUCAAUCUGCCAUGCAGCUUUGUCUUAACUGCAGUUGCAGUUGCUUGCCCCGAGGCACUGUCAUUUGAAGUCGAGAAAGAGCUGUAAGAUGUGGAAAUGGCCUCUGAAGAUCAAACAACUAUCCCUUUCCCUGUGUUACAAGGAAAGAGGAAGAAAUGACAUGCUGAGACAUCAGUCCAGUCGAAAAGUGUCAAGAGAGCAGCUCGAUUUAGAAGUUACAGUGUGAAGGGGGCAGAGAAAGAAAAAAGCAAGGGUGUGCAAGGUAAAAAGGAGAUGGUUGACUCAAAUCAGAUGGCAGCAGAGGCCAGGCCCGGUCAUAUGGCUCGAGGUUUUCUGGACCUGCUGUGCUUAGAGAGGAAAGCACACAACAUUCUGCUGCAUUCCAUCCACACACAUGUCUCAAAUCAGCACUGUAAACCAGCUCAGAGUUUUAGCCAGCUAAUAUAUUUGCCAGUCUUGUACUUUAUGAAGUUAGGAGAUGAAGGUAAACCGGGAGAGGAGCUUAAAUGGCUUGUAAAUAUUAAAACUUUACCCCAUAUCCACUGACAGAGCUGUGGUAUCCAAUCUGGCCAUAUUAUGCAAAUCUUGUACCAAAAAGACAGUCGUUCUGGUCUGGAAAAAUUAGCUUAAAGGUGAAGUGUGUCUUUUUAUCUGUGUUAAAAUACCUGAAGCUGCGGUCUGCAACGUGCAUUCAGUUGACAGACAUUCCUAUUUGUUGUGCUGCAGCCACGCAUUUUACCUGUCUUGUCAGAAAUUAAAUUAUCAUGUGUGAGCUGAUUGAUAUAAAUUUAAAUAACUUCAGACCAUUAUGCCAAAGCUAGUUUGUAAUGUCAUAAAGUUGCUCAACUACAUUACUCAAGUUUUCAAAACAAGGGCUCGACUUGUAAACAAAGAAUGUGAUGCACCUUGUUUUGUUUUUUGGGUUUUUUUUUUGUUGUUGUUGUUGUUUGUUUUUUGGAGGCAGGUUGUGUACAGUAGUAUGUUAUUGUUCAGGCUAAUUCUGAGAUGGGUUCGGCCAAGCACCAGCUCUGUUACCUGGCACCAUUUAUAAAAAAAAAAGUUAAUAGUGGAAAACAUUUCAAAGUAACUCAUGAAAGCAGUUAGGAAAUGUCUGACUGACCUUACUGGAAGGAAAAAGCUCAGAAAAAUUAAAGCUGGAAUUGAAGACAACAGCCCUUGAGAGAUGAAAACAGGCACAGAAAGAGAACAGACAGGAAGGGAGCGUCUUCAGUUUGUCUCAGCACUGAAAUGAAAUCAGUAUUCAUGGCAGAAGGACAAUCCAUGGAAACCAGAUGCGCCUAAACUUUCAUGUAUCCACCUCUUUUAAAAAUGCAGUUUUCAUUUCCUGCUACAAAGUCCAUCAGUAUGUGUGUGAGUUUGGCCUGAGAUGAACUGGCAAUGCGUGCUAGCAUGCUAAGCUGCGUUAGGUUUUUACUGGAAUAUAUUACGGUAUAUAAUGCGUGUAACAUCUGAACAACUGUUUCUUGUCUUCUAUACAUCUGGGUUUUGGCCUCUUUUUAUGAUUGGUGCAUCUUGCAUUAUGCAUUGGGGCUGUGGCAACCACUAUAACAAAUCGGCUGAUAUUUAUUUCAUUUUUCUUUUGGAGUUGUAAAAGAAAGACUCAUGCUUUGCUUUCAGAUGCAUGCUUUGAUGUCGCCAAAGAGGACAUUCUUUGCCCUGACAUUUAUUGUGUUGGAGCAUACCGGAGCAAGACAUUUACACCUCAUAACAAGCCUUCCUGGCAUUCUGACAAAUGUCCCCACUGUUCUGAGGUCAGAUUAACAUUAAAAAUGUCACAAGUCUCCCCAGCCCCUUCUCAUUAUUCGAGUUCUAAAAGCACAAACACCUACGUCUCCUUCAAAACAGCGACCUUUGCUGCUUUUCCCUGCUGUUAGCACCCAAAUUAAUUUCUCCAUGGCUAAUAUUAUAUACUUAACGAUAGAUAGAUAGAUAGAUU